Long non-coding RNA from Polyodon spathula (Mississippi paddlefish), 460 nucleotides. RefSeq lists it as uncharacterized. Lineage: Eukaryota; Metazoa; Chordata; Actinopteri; Acipenseriformes; Polyodontidae. The transcript has 3 exons. The record is from RefSeq and is a predicted model, not a curated record.
GAGAGGGAGAGGGAAAGAGAGACAAAAAGAUAGUUAGAGAGGGACAGACAGGCAAACAGACAGAGACACAGACAGAUAAAUAGAUUAAUCCAUCAAUCGAUUGGUCGUUUUUAUCUUUGGCUUAUUAAAAGGUGUCCCGUCUUUCGAAGGAGAGAAAGAACGAUGGAGUGAUCGGGAGAGAGGAAGGAGUGCCUGAACAGAGGGAUAGAGAAAGAGAGAGACUUUCAAAUCGCUUUCCCAGAGAAGUGAAGGAUGGCUGAGGUUCAGCGUCCUAGGAGUGCGCUGAGUCAGGCGUCCAGCGUUGGGACGGUCUCAUCCAUGACCCUGGGUUCAAAGGGCUCAGGUUCCAAGCUGCACAGUUUUGGAAAGAGGGGACAGUCCAUCAGGAGAGACCCCAACUCCGCGGUCGUGAUUCGAGGCUGGCUGUUCAAACAGGUACCCAGCCCCCGUCUGCCAGAGA